RNAcentral lists this long non-coding RNA (168 nucleotides) under Mustela putorius furo (domestic ferret). RNAcentral describes it as "lncRNA (ENSMPUG00000026614.1)". The record is from RNAcentral. Lineage: Eukaryota; Metazoa; Chordata; Mammalia; Carnivora; Mustelidae.
GCUGAAUGAGAUGAGAAGCUCUUGAACUUCCCUCCUCCCAUGGACACAGUGAAAAUAUAACUACACAAUGAGAAGUUACUUCUGAAAGAAAUUCACAAAGUAGCUGAUACAUCAGGCAAAUUCAAUCAUGAGGCAAGGCUUCUGCUAUUUACACUUAGUAACGUCGGC